RNAcentral lists this ribosomal RNA (406 nucleotides) under uncultured bacterium. RNAcentral describes it as "partial 16S ribosomal RNA". It matches the Rfam family "Bacterial small subunit ribosomal RNA", at positions 29 to 526 of the family's 1533-position model. The record is from RNAcentral.
AUUGAACGCUGGCGGCAGGCCUAACACAUGCAAGUCGAACGAGUGGCGGACGGGUGAGUAAUGUCUGGGAAACUGCCUGCUGGCAGGGGAUAACUACUGGAAACGGUAGCUAAUACCGCAUACCAUCAGCUGUGCCCAGAUGGGAUUAUCUUGUUGGUGGGGUAACGGCGAACCAAGGCGACUAGCCCUAGCUGGUCUGAGAGGAUGACCGGCCACAGUGGAACUGAGCCACGGUCCAGACGCCUACGGGAGGCAGCAGGGGGGAAGAUUGCACAAUGGGGGCAAGCCUGAUGCAGCCAUGCCGCGUGUAUGAAGAAGGCCUUCGGGUUGUAAAGUACGUUCAGCGGGGAGGCGUUACCCGCAGAAGAAGCACCGGCUAACUCCGUGCCAGCAGCCGCGGUAAUAC